UGAUGAUGGUGAGGGAAAUUUCUGAGCACACCCUUAAAUCUCUCCCAAUCUUGGUAGAGAUUGUCUCCGUCUUUCUUUCUAAAUCUCAAGAUCUCACUCCUCAAGCA
This 107-nucleotide small nucleolar RNA is filed under the name Capsicum annuum. RNAcentral's name for it is "Plant small nucleolar RNA R71". It matches the Rfam family "Plant small nucleolar RNA R71". Rfam says of the family: R71 is a member of the C/D box family of snoRNAs containing the C (UGAUGA) and D (CUGA) box motifs. Multiple nearly identical copies of this snoRNA have been identified in Arabidopsis, and it is thought to function as a 2'-O-ribose methylation guide for 18S ribosomal RNA. The record is from Rfam by way of RNAcentral. Lineage: Eukaryota; Viridiplantae; Streptophyta; Magnoliopsida; Solanales; Solanaceae.